This 759-nucleotide ribosomal RNA is filed under the name Triticum aestivum (bread wheat). RNAcentral describes it as "partial small subunit ribosomal RNA". Lineage: Eukaryota; Viridiplantae; Streptophyta; Magnoliopsida; Poales; Poaceae. The record is from RNAcentral.
AUGGAAGUGUCAUUCUGUUUGUUCAUUCCUUUUUCAGAUACAAGCACAGGAGAAUCACUUAAUUGGUCUAAGCGCCUCCAUAUAAUUGAAGGGAUAGCUCAGGGUCUUGUUUACCUGCAUGACCUAUCGUCUCACCAAUGUGUUGUCCACAUGGAUUUGAAAGCCAGUGAUAUAUUGUUAGAUUAUGAAAUGAACCCUAAGAUUUCUGAUUUUGGGAUGGCUAGGAUAUUACCUUCUAGCGGGACUGAAGGGACUUCGAAGACUGUUAAAGGCACAAGUGGUUAUAUGGAUCCUGAAUAUGUCAGGUUUGGGAAAUUCUCAGUGAAGUCUGAUGUGUAUAGCUUUGGCAUCAUGAUUCUUGAGAUAAUAAGUGGAAAGAAAUGUCAUUCCAUAUUAUCCAAUGGAAAAAUGAUGCAUCUACCGAUGCGUGCCUGGAUGCUAUGGGAAGCAGGAAAGUCCCACGAGCUUGUUGAUGUAUCAUCAUCACCAUGUAACAACCAACAAGCAGCUCAGAUCACCAGAUGCGUUCAUGUGGCGCUACUGUGCAUUCAAGACUAUCCGAGGCAGAGGCCUACCAUGCCGGAUGUGCUUCUUAUGCUGCAUAGUGAGAGCGUCGGCUUGCCUACACCUAGCAUGCCACCCAACCAUCAAGCUGAAGCCCUGACGCUGGAGGGGUUCGGGGAGGUGAACGUACCAUUACAACCUGUUCAGGAGAUGGUCACUUCGUUUUUUUUGAAACAAGAGAUGGUCACUUCGUAG